RNAcentral lists this long non-coding RNA (727 nucleotides) under Pan troglodytes (chimpanzee). Its description in RNAcentral is "long non-coding RNA NONPTRT011314". Lineage: Eukaryota; Metazoa; Chordata; Mammalia; Primates; Hominidae. The record is from RNAcentral.
AGAAUCUGGAUAAAGGGUAUAAGGAAUUCUUUGUACUAUUUUUGCAACUCUUUUAAUGUCUAAAAUUGUAUCAAAAAUACACAUCAUAUACAUCUUGUCCCACUAUAAGACUCAGCGAAGACAGCAAAGGGACAUGCCAUUUUCUUGAUGCACCCUAUAAUAAUUUAUUUUAUGCCACCAGUAAAAACUUUUAGUGGGCCCUACAAAAACCUGAGCAUAGAUGGCUUGCCUCAAGUAAUUUAGGUAGAUUUCCCACCUCCUUUCCUGCAAACUAUUCUUUUCAGAAAUUGGCCUGAUGAUCCUAAAGAAGUUCACCUAUUGCAGACAUGACUGUUUGGUCUAAGAAAGUAAGAAGUCAUGCGUGGCCUGAAGAAGGGAAAGAACUUAUCUAUAUUCAAUCUUCUCCAGAGGAGCAGUGACCAGAGAUUUUUCCACCUACACUACUUAUGAGUUUCACCAAGCAGUGAGACUACCAGCUGGCAGUGACUACAGGGUCCUGCAAAAUCUGUGCCACCAUCUUCUCUUUCUUUGUUUCCUUCCAACUUUGAUAUUAGGUUCAGGGGGUACAUGAGUAGAUUUGUUGCAAUGGCAAAUUGUGUGUCACUCAGGUUUGGUAUACAAAUGAUUUUGUCACCCAGGUAAGCAUAGUACCCAAUAGGUAGUUUUUUGAUCCUCACCCUCUCACUCCUUCCACCCUCAAGUGGGUCCUGGUAUCUAUUGUUUCCUU